UAGUCCACGCCCUAAACGAUGUCGAUUAGCUGUUGGGCAGCAUGACUGCUUGGUAGCGAAGCUAACGCGUGAAAUCGACCGCCUGGGGAGUACGGUCGCAAGAUUAAAACUCAAAGGAAUUGACGGGGACCCGCACAAGCGGUGGAUGAUGUGGAUUAAUUCGAUGCAACGCGAAGAACCUUACCUGGUCUUGACAUGUACGGAACCCUCCAGAGACGGAGGGGUGCCUUCGGGAGCCGUAACAC
This 245-nucleotide ribosomal RNA is filed under the name uncultured bacterium. RNAcentral describes it as "partial 16S ribosomal RNA". It matches the Rfam family "Bacterial small subunit ribosomal RNA", at positions 791 to 1035 of the family's 1533-position model. The record is from RNAcentral.